CCCGGACUGUGCCGGCGGUGGGGCCAAGGAGGGAUAGCCACAACAAGGCCCUUUCUAGACAGGCCGAGAGGGGCAAAGACACUCACAGGGGCCCCCAAAUGCCCUGCACCGAGCGGGGUACCAGCCUGGUGCCAAGGCUGAUGAAGCAAGAACAAAACCUGUGUGAUUACAGGUCCCUGAGGGUUGGGGCUGUGUUGCCGCUACAUGUCCCAGUCUGUCCCCACUGGAAUCUGGGCCAAGGCUAAGCAGGCGGGCCCUCAACAUCUCCUUCUCCCAGGACCCCCAGCCUUGUCUCCGCCUUGGCCGUCUCCUCUGGCCCUGGGUCCAAGCCCCUGCCCCAGUGUGGAAACCACAGCACAGUGCCUGGGUGCCCACUCGGCCUGGACGCUCCCAGCCCACAGGCAGCUUCCAGAAAGGAGCACAGGGCUGUGCACACGGUGUGAUCAUGCCACAACCCAACAGCCGGCGUCUGAGCUGCUCUCACAAGCCCAGGCAUGGUGCUCUCUCAGUCACCAGCUGCCGGCCGCCAGAAAGGCCUGGCCCACCUGCACUCUGGCCAGGCUGCUGCUCCGUGUGACAGCUGCAAGUGGACUGCAAUUCUCACAGAAAUUAUUUUUAAAAAUGUUUACUUAUUAUUUUCAUCAAGUGAGGGAGAGAGAGAGAGAGAGAGGCCUUCCAUCUGCUGGCUCACUCCCCAAAUGCCCACAGCAGGCUGAAGCCAGGAGACCAGAGCACCAUCUGGGUCUCCCUCGAGGGUGGCAGGGCCCCAAGGACUUGGACCAGCACCUGCUGCCUCCCAGGAGCAUCCACAGGAAGCUGGGUGGAAGCAGAUGACCCAGACCGACGCAGGGAUCCAACACAGGACGUAGGCAUCGCCGGCGGGGGCUUGGCCGGGUUAGGGUUAGCACAGUACCCACUCCCUGGCAGCCGUGAGUGCUGUGAGGAUCGAGAUGCGGGGAGGUGAGGUCCCCCCAUCAGAACAGGGAGUCACAGCCAGUGCUGCUGGACACACAGCGACACUCUCCUACCUUAAUUCCAUGUUGUUGCUUGAGACAGACAGAGUCCCGUUCCCACAGCCAGCAUGGGCAGCACGAUGUGUCCAGUGUCCACAGACAGGUUCUCCAUGGUCAGGCCACGGUGGGUUUGUGCAUCCAGUGCUCAAGGGGCACCAACAAACAAGGGAGGAGUGAGGGACCCAGGAGCGAACUCCCCUGGGGCACAACAGAUGCCUCAGGUAGUCAGCUGCACAGACGUGGGUGCAGGAACACGGGAGCCCUCUCGCUGUCCCCAGAGGUGCUGGGAAAGGACAUCCCUGCUCCGGAGCCCCGCCCUGGCUCCCUCCUGUGCAGAGAAGGUGCUUGCUGGUGAGCUCUGGGGAGGCCGGCUGCAGGCAGGAGCACACACCGCGAUGGGAGAGCACACCAAGGUGAGCUCCGGUACCAAGGCCAUUCUCAGUGCAGCAGAUAAAGUCCCACCCUUGGCUUAGAAAGGGCAGCCCAGGGGAGACGCUCGGCGCAGCAGUAUGUGUGGAAAGUGGGUCUGGCUUGGCCACAGGCUCAGGACAAGCUAAGAUGGGGCUGUCACAGAAGCACAUGGGUGCAGGCUGCAGGCUGCCCGGCCCGAGCAGUCAGCUGAGCAGGGUGAUCAGUGCCAAGCCCCGUGGACAUGGGGCACAGGCCGUCCACACCUGCUGCAGGAGGACUCGUAGAGCUGCAAGGAGGCCAUGGUCAACACAGAGGAAGCAGCUGAGGGAGGCAUGAAGAGCAGGAGGGGGCAGCACACAAGCACAGGGUUCAGGUCUGGAAAGAUCCGUCAUAUGGCAGGAGGUCUGGGGGCACGAGGUCCCAGAAGGGCGUCCAUCCGCGGGCACACCCAGGCAGCCCUGGACAUCACCGAGAGGCUGACACACCAGGUGCAGGGUGUCAGGUGCUCCAGAAGCCGCUCCCGGCCCCCAGGCUCUGACUCUGUACAGUGGGACCUGCUUUGGGCACAGAGUUUCUCUAACCUCACACUGCCCUGGGGAAGCUUCGGAGCUGUGAGGGCACAGUGUCUGAGGUUUUGCCCGUCAGACAAGAGCCCAGCAGGCACUGCCAGUCUGCAGAUCACGCUUUGAGCAGAGAGAGUCUGGAACCUACCAAUGGCACAGACAGGAUCAGGCAGCUGUAGGGAGUCCCAGGGAGGCGGGAAGUCCAGCGUCAGACACACGGGAAGAGGGAUGCCACCUGCCCCCAGCCAUGUCCUGACCCUUUGCUUCUCUGAAACACACUUCACGCCCGCACUCAGGUCCCUGAGGCCCAGUUCCUCGUGUGUAUGGUGGGAACGACCCGCAUGGCUGGGGCACCAAGUAGCAUCACAGAACAGGAGCCUGAUUUGUCUCAGCCUCCUUACAAACCACUCAGCCAGCAUCUGUCCCCUUCACUGUCAAGACGAGUUAUUCUGGCCGGCGCUGUGACCUAGUGGGUUAACGCCCUGGCCUGCAGUGCCUGCAUCCCAUAUGGUGGUGCUGGUUUGAGUCCCAGCUGCUCCACUUCUGCUCCAGCUCUCUGCUAUGGCCUGGGAAAGCAGUAGAAGAUGGCCCAAGUGCUUGGGCCCCUGCACCCAUGUGGGAGACCCAGAAGAAGCUCCUGGCUCCUGGCUUUGGAUCAGUGCAGCUCCAGCCAUUGUGGCCAAUUGGGGAAUGAACCAUUGGAUGGAAGAUCUCUCUCUCUCUCUCUCUCUCUCUCUCUCUGCCUCUCCAUCUCUCUGUGAAACCCUGACUUUCAAAUAAAUAAAUAAAUCUUAAAAAAAAAAAAAACA
This 2796-nucleotide long non-coding RNA is filed under the name Oryctolagus cuniculus (rabbit). Its description in RNAcentral is "lncRNA (ENSOCUG00000039516.1)". Lineage: Eukaryota; Metazoa; Chordata; Mammalia; Lagomorpha; Leporidae. The record is from RNAcentral.